GAUGAACGCUGGCGGCGUGCCUAAUACAUGCAAGUCGAGCGAAGCGGGGACGGGUGAGUAACGCGUGGAUAACUGCCGAUAAGGCUGGAAUAACUUCGGAAACCGGGAGCAAAACCGGAAAGUUAUCGAUGGGUCCGAGCUGGAUUAGCUAGUUGGUAAGGUAACGGCUUACCAAGGCAACGAUGCAUAGCCGGUCUGAGAGGGUGACCGGCCACACUGGAACUGAGACACAGUCCAGACUCCUACGGGAGGCAGCAGUAGGGAAUCUUCCGCAAUGGGCGAAAGCCUGACGCAGCAACGCCGCGUGAGUGAAGAAGGCCUUCGGAUCGUAAAACACUGUUAGCAGGGAAGCGGUACCCAAACAGAAAGCAACGGCUAACUACGUGCCAGCAGCCGCGGUAAUUC
RNAcentral lists this ribosomal RNA (405 nucleotides) under uncultured bacterium. RNAcentral's name for it is "partial 16S ribosomal RNA". It matches the Rfam family "Bacterial small subunit ribosomal RNA", at positions 28 to 526 of the family's 1533-position model. The record is from RNAcentral.